UGCCAGCCGCCGCGGUAAUACGUAGGGGGCAAGCGUUGUCCGGAUUUACUGGGUGUAAAGGGCGCGUAGGCGGGUUUGUAAGUCAGAGGUGAAAUCCUGCGGCUCAACCGUAGAACUGCCUUUGAAACUACAAACCUUGAGUUUGGAAGAGAGAGAUGGAAUUCCAGGUGUAGUGGUGAAAUACGUAGAUAUCUGGAAGAACACCAGUGGCGAAGGCGGGUAACUGGACGAGUACUGACGCUGAGGCACGAAAGCGUGGGGAGCAAACCGGAUUAGAUA
This 279-nucleotide ribosomal RNA is filed under the name uncultured bacterium. RNAcentral describes it as "partial 16S ribosomal RNA". It matches the Rfam family "Bacterial small subunit ribosomal RNA", at positions 506 to 784 of the family's 1533-position model. The record is from RNAcentral.